This 1266-nucleotide long non-coding RNA is filed under the name Serinus canaria (Common canary). RNAcentral's name for it is "lncRNA (ENSSCAG00000015690.1)". The record is from RNAcentral. Lineage: Eukaryota; Metazoa; Chordata; Aves; Passeriformes; Fringillidae.
GCCACCUGGGAAGAGCCCAGGAGAUCCCCAUGCUCAUCCUGUGCCUUGGACAGCUGGGGAAUGAGGGCUGCCAGGGCAGGAUGGACAGUGGGGUUUGGGAUUGCGAUGGGACUGGGGAUCAGAGUAGAGAUGGGAGUGGGGUUUGGGGUGAAGAUGGAAGUGGGGAUUGGGAUGGGGAUGAGAGUGGAUUUUGGGAUGGGAAUGGAAGAGGGAUUUGCUGUGGAGAUGGAGAAUAGGUUCGAUACAGGGAUAGGACUGGAAGUUCAGUUUGGGAUGGGGAUGGGAGUGUGGUUUGGGAUGAGGAUGGAGCCGGUCCUUCCCCUCCCACAUCCCUGUCCCUGCGCGCAGGGUGGUGACAGACGAGUGCUACCCGUUCACGAGCCAGCAGAGCCCGCCGGCGGCUCAGCCCUGCAUGAUGCACAGCCGCUCCACGGGCCGGGGCAAGCGACAGGCGACAGCGCGCUGCCCCAACCCCCAGACCCACUCCAACGAGAUCUACCAGUCCACCCCCGCCUACCGCCUCUCCUCCAGCGAGAAGGAGAUCAUGAAGGAGCUUCUGGAGAACGGCCCCGUGCAAGCCAUCCUGGAGGUGCACGAGGAUUUCUUCAUGUACAAGAGCGGGAUCUAUCGGCACACGCCCGUGGCCGAGGGGAAGGGGCCGAAGCACCAGAGGCACGGGACCCACUCGGUGAAAAUCACCGGGUGGGGAGAGGAGCAGCUGCCUGAUGGCCAGACCCAAAAAUACUGGACGGCGGCCAACUCGUGGGGCACGGCGUGGGGCGAGGGCGGCCACUUUCGCAUCGCCCGCGGCGUCAACGAGUGCGAGGUGGAGACUUUCGUGGUGGGGGUGUGGGGCCGUGUCAGCAUGGAGGACAUGCCCCACAAGUGAGCCCCCCGAUGUCCCUGUGUCCCCAGCGCGGCCCCGCCCAGCUCACAGCACGCUGGGCCAGGGGCUGGCACUGUCACCUGUGUCCCCCUAACCGGGGGCUGGCGCUGUCCCCGUGUCCCCAUGGCCAGGGCUGGCGCUGACCCCCGUGUGCCCAUGGACAGGGGGCCGCCGCUGUCCCCUGUGUCCCCAUGGCCGGGGGCCGGCGCUGUCCCCUGUGUCCCCUAGCCGGGGGCUGGCGCUGUCCCCUGUGUCCCCCAGCAGUGGGCUGGUGCUGUCCCCUGUGUCCCCUAGCCGGGGGCUGGCGCUGUCCCCUGUGUCCCCCUGCCGGGGGCUGCGUGUCCCCGCGGUGCUGACACAGCGGCCGGGGGCAGUGGGCC